UAUGGUGUGUGCCAGCAGCCGCGGUAAUACGUAGGUGGCAAGCGUUAUCCGGAUUUACUGGGUGUAAAGGGCGAGUAGGCGGGAUUGCAAGUCAGAUGUGAAAACUAUGGGCUCAACCCAUAGACUGCAUUUGAAACUGUAGUUCUUGAGUGAUGGAGAGGCAGGCGGAAUUCCCGGUGUAGCGGUGGAAUGCGUAGAUAUCGGGAGGAACACCAGUGGCGAAGGCGGCCUGCUGGACAUUAACUGACGCUGAGGCGCGAAAGCGUGGGGAGCAAACAGG
RNAcentral lists this ribosomal RNA (280 nucleotides) under Intestinimonas butyriciproducens. Its description in RNAcentral is "partial 16S ribosomal RNA". It matches the Rfam family "Bacterial small subunit ribosomal RNA", at positions 497 to 776 of the family's 1533-position model. Lineage: Bacteria; Bacillati; Bacillota; Clostridia; Eubacteriales. The record is from RNAcentral.